Populus trichocarpa (black cottonwood) is the source of this 425-nucleotide long non-coding RNA. RefSeq lists it as uncharacterized. The transcript is spliced from 2 exons. The record is from RefSeq and is a predicted model, not a curated record. NCBI's taxonomy places the organism in Eukaryota, Viridiplantae, Streptophyta, Magnoliopsida, Malpighiales, Salicaceae.
GAAAGGUUGGCGAGCCCCACCCAACAUCUGCGGUGCUCAUGUGGCUUCCCAUGUCAAAAACUGGAAUACCUUUCCAGUACAAAGCCUCCAACAGCUUGGUGUCCAUAGCACCUAUUAAUAGGGAAAAAAAGAAGAUCCAAGGAUGGCUCAACGAUGAGAAAGUCAACGUUGGCUGGCUAGGUUCAUCAUGCAAUUGCAAUUGCAAUUCAGAGAAAAGGGAAAGAAAAUUAUACAAUUACUUAAUUCGAUUUGAUUUGCAGUGACAGAAGAAAUAGAAAGAGAGAGUGUUUUUAAGUAGGAAGAAGAGAUGGCUUACGACGAGUAUUAUCAAUACUUGUAGGAAUGGGAGGAGAGGAGAGCCAGGAAGUGGAGGAGGAGGAUGAAUUGGCGGAGUAGACGGCGGAUAAAACAUACAAGGAAGAGAA